RNAcentral lists this ribosomal RNA (208 nucleotides) under uncultured bacterium. RNAcentral's name for it is "partial 16S ribosomal RNA". It matches the Rfam family "Bacterial small subunit ribosomal RNA", at positions 568 to 774 of the family's 1533-position model. The record is from RNAcentral.
AGCGUAGACGGCUUUGCAAGUCUGAUGUGAAAGGCGGGGGCUCAACCCCCUGGACUGCAUUGGAAACUGUGAGGCUUGAGUGCCGGAGAGGUAAGCGGAAUUCCUAGUGUAGCGGUGAAAUGCGUAGAUAUUAGGAGGAACACCAGUGGCGAAGGCGGCUUACUGGACGGUAACUGACGUUGAGGCUCGAAAGCGUGGGGAGCAAACA